UGGUCGACCAUAAAACGUACGU
This 22-nucleotide microRNA is filed under the name Cervus elaphus (red deer). RNAcentral's name for it is "cel-miR-411b-5p". The record is from RNAcentral. RNAcentral also lists the same sequence under 3 other names. Lineage: Eukaryota; Metazoa; Chordata; Mammalia; Artiodactyla; Cervidae.